Molecule: ribosomal RNA, 513 nt
Filed under: uncultured bacterium
Lineage: Bacteria
Description: partial 16S ribosomal RNA
Rfam family: Bacterial small subunit ribosomal RNA
Source: RNAcentral
GAUGAACGCUGGCGGCGUGCUUAACACAUGCAAGUCGAACGAUGAACCCGGAGCUUGCUCCGGUGGAUUAGCGGCGGACGGGUGAGUAACACGUGGGUAACCUGCCCAUAAGACUGGGAUAACUCCGGGAAACCGGGGCUAAUACCGGAUAACAUUUUGAACCGCAUGGUUCGAAAUUGAAAGGCGGCUUCGGCUGUCACUUAUGGAUGGACCCGCGUCGCAUUAGCUAGUUGGUGAGGUAACGGCUCACCAAGGCAACGAUGCGUAGCCGACCUGAGAGGGUGAUCGGCCACACUGGGACUGAGACACGGCCCAGACUCCUACGGGAGGCAGCAGUAGGGAAUCUUCCGCAAUGGACGAAAGUCUGACGGAGCAACGCCGCGUGAGUGAUGAAGGCUUUCGGGUCGUAAAACUCUGUUGUUAGGGAAGAACAAGUGCUAGUUGAAUAAGCUGGCACCUUCACGGUACCUAACCAGAAAGCCACGGCUAACUACGUGCCAGCAGCCGCCGUAA